This is a long non-coding RNA of Passer domesticus (house sparrow), 1805 nucleotides long. RefSeq lists it as uncharacterized. The transcript is spliced from 3 exons. The record is from RefSeq and is a predicted model, not a curated record. NCBI's taxonomy places the organism in Eukaryota, Metazoa, Chordata, Aves, Passeriformes, Passeridae.
AACUUGGAGUCAUCAUGGGAAAGCCCGAGCAAGUGCCCUGUGGAAAUGAAACAAAUUAAUUAAAUUAUAUGACUAUCCAGUUUACCAGCUGGAGCUCACAAUCAUGUGAGGGAAAAGAACUGUACUCAUUUAUAUUUAUCAGCAAUUGACUUCUUACUGUUUUUCCAAUUCACCUUCAGCAAGAAAAACUUUGUGAAAAUGUUCUGCAACUGUCUAGAAAGGUGCUACAUCUUUUUAAACAGCUAAAAAUAAAAGUAUUUAAGAUGCAACUAAACAAAGGGUAGAAGAAUGAAUGGGAAUAAAGCUGCAGAGAGCUGAAGCCUGAACUUAAUGCUCCAAAUGUUCAACUUCAGCCAAAAGUUGAUUAAUAAGAUAUGCAGGGCUAAAUCAAGAGUGCUUUAACAAUAAGGACAAAGCCACUGCAGAAAAGAAAGCCUGAUGCCCUGAAAGGGACACAUUCUGCAAGAUCUGGCCUUUUCUUUUUUCAGACAAUAGGCUGCUGCAUUGUUAUGCUUGGAGAAUUCCUAUAUACUGUUCCUAAACUCAGACAGCUCUGCAAAGUUGUGGAGGUGUAGUUCAAGGAGCUGCUAGAGGCCUGUGGAGGUUUUGCCUGUUGCUGCUCAUUCAUUCUCUCCCCCUCAAAAACCACUGGCCAAAAUCCAUCUAUUUUAUCUGGAAGAAAUAAAGCAAACGUCUCCCACGUGAUGUGGCAGAAACCCUGGCAACAGAAGCAGCAGGUUUGCUCUGCAGCAAAGCUGCUUUUUGGCUUCCUGUGCACCAAUCCAACCUGAGCCCCCGGGCUGUGCAUCCUCCUGCUGGGUUGAGCUGCAGUUCAAUUUACUUUGGUUGCCUUCCAGACAAAGAAUCUGAGUCUGGAAAAUGCUCUUGGAUCCUUCAGGGGGGAAGCAAGAGCAUUCAGAGCCCCUGGAAGUCACAGUGAGGACACUCUGAGGAUCAAGUCCAUGCUAAAGAUGCUGCAUCUGCUCCCCAUGCACAAAAACCACUCAGAGUGACUCUGCUUCAGCCAGUGGCUCACCUUGACCUUCCAAGUGAAAGAAAAUAACAUUUCAGGCUCAGAGCAUCCCCUCAGACUGAGGAACUGAGCCACUGUACAAUUAAAGCUACACCCUGCCCACAGGACAGGGGGAACUUGGAGAUUUCUGGAUUGCAGGAAGAAAUCUGGUCUCCAAAUAAAAUACAGCAAGGUUUUCCCCAAAGUGCUUAACUAAAGGGUAUCCAUGCCACACUUUUAUUUUUCAUCCUUUUUUGACCUUUGAUUUAAUUUAAGUACUCAAGCAAUUUUAGCAGUGUUUUCUUCUCAGCUUCUCCCACUUCAGGCCACACACACAAAGAUCAUUCUGUGACUUGACACCCCUCCUUUCUAAAAACUUCUGGUGAGGAGGGAAAAAAAAAAGAGGAUGUUAUUUCAAACAGCCUCAAACUAGAGGUUUUAUGUCCAUUAGGGUUCUUAUUUAUUCGUUUCAAUUCAUGCCUUUUUUACAUUGAAAAUUAUAGUUUUUAGAGAUUCCUGUAAAUGCUUAGGUAUGAAAAUGGCCUUUCUCCAAAAUGUGCUUCUAGAUCACUAAAAAUAAUUCACUUUUGCUUAUAUUUUCUCUGUAUGGAAUUCAAGGUAACAAUGUGAACGUUUGCUGCUCAUCCCUAUCUUUACUGAUCUGUGUUCUUUUAUUUUUAAUCUGCCUAAAAAUGUAUUUAUUGCUGAUAAAAUGGCAGGAAAGGCAAUGCUUUCCUCUGCACACACCAGAACCACCAACAAGAGGGCUCCUCACCCAACCCUACCCAUGACC